AAUAAGUGUAGUUUUACACUGUUCAUAUCCAACGUUUGACCGUUCGUAUUAAUUGAAAAAAAAAUUAUUGUUAUUAGAUGAUAAAAAAUAAAUAGUAUUUUAUGUGUAAAUAAUUUUUCUUAUUUUUUUAUUUUUUAGUAAGACAAAUGGUCAAACGUUGGAUAUGGAUAUCCACGUCUUAGG
Molecule: microRNA precursor, 183 nt
Filed under: Oryza meridionalis
Lineage: Eukaryota; Viridiplantae; Streptophyta; Magnoliopsida; Poales; Poaceae
Description: MIR812 microRNA precursor family
Rfam family: MIR812 microRNA precursor family
Source: Rfam by way of RNAcentral